Molecule: ribosomal RNA, 305 nt
Filed under: uncultured bacterium
Lineage: Bacteria
Description: bacterial SSU rRNA
Rfam family: Bacterial small subunit ribosomal RNA
Source: RNAcentral
UCCUACGGGGCGCAGCAGUGGGGGAUAUUACACAAUGGGGGAAACCCUGAUGCAGCGACGCCGCGUGAGCGAUGAAGUAUUUCGGUAUGUAAAGCUCUAUCAGCAGGGAAGAAAAUGACGGUACCUGACUAAGAAGCCCCGGCUAACUACGUGCCAGCAGCCGCGGUAAUACGUAGGGGGCAAGCGUUAUCCGGAUUUACUGGGUGUAAAGGGAGCGCAGACGGCGGUGCAAGUCUGGAGUGAAAGCCCGGGGCCCAACCCCGGAACUGCUCUGGAAACUGUGCGGCUAGAGUACUGGAGGGGCG